RNAcentral lists this ribosomal RNA (506 nucleotides) under uncultured bacterium. Its description in RNAcentral is "partial 16S ribosomal RNA". It matches the Rfam family "Bacterial small subunit ribosomal RNA", at positions 30 to 523 of the family's 1533-position model. The record is from RNAcentral.
AUUGAACGCUGGUGGCAGGCUUAACACAUGCAAGUCGAGCGGUAACAGAGAGAAGCUUGCUUCUCUGCUGACGAGCGGCGGACGGGUGAGUAAUGCCUAGGAAUCUGCCUAGUAGUGGGGGAUAACUUGCCGAAAGGUAAGCUAAUACCGCAUACGUCCUACGGGAGAAAGGAGGGGACCUUCGGGCCUUUCGCUAUUAGAUGAGCCUAGGUCGGAUUAGUUAGUUGGUGAGGUAAUGGCUCACCAAGACCGCGAUCCGUAACUGGUCUGAGAGGAUGAUCAGUCACACUGGGACUGAGACACGGUCCAGACUCCUACGGGAGGCAGCAGUGGGGAAUAUUGGACAAUGGGGGGAACCCUGAUCCAGCCAUGCCGCGUGUGUGAAGAAGGUCUUAGGAUUGUAAAGCACUUUAAGUUGGGAGGAAGAGCAGUUAACUAAUAUUUGACUGUUUUGACGUUACCGACAGAAUAAGCACCGGCUAACUUCGUGCCAGCCGCCGCGGUAA